This is a long non-coding RNA of Gambusia affinis (western mosquitofish), 338 nucleotides long. RefSeq lists it as uncharacterized. NCBI's taxonomy places the organism in Eukaryota, Metazoa, Chordata, Actinopteri, Cyprinodontiformes, Poeciliidae. The record is from RefSeq and is a predicted model, not a curated record. The transcript is spliced from 3 exons.
CACAGCUGCGGCUAAUAAAAUCAAGCUAAUAAUGGCUCCGUUUGAUCCAGGUGUCCCAGGUGGAGCACUAAAAUGACAAUGUAAUCUUAAUGUGAGAGGGAAAAACAACAAAACUGUUAAUUAUUAAUGCUCAAGCGAAUGCUUAAUCAAACAUAUUAAUAAUUUUAUUAGCUGCAGCUGCGUUUUACCAAUUGUAGGAUUCGAAUGGAGAGCGCUUAGUGGAACACAGAGCAGGAGAUGCACAGAGGAGGAGUGACAAGGGCAGACUGCUGCUGCCGACGGGAAAGUACUCAUGCUACAAAGAAGUGUGGGGAAGAGACACCAGCUGCAAGUUUUUU